AGUAUCAAAGUACACAAUAUCUACUACAACAAGCGUUAAAUGUAUAAAUAAACUAUACAGUUGAUCAAAAUUAAUGACUACAAUCUAGUAAAUAGAAAAUGAUGCACAAGAAUUUGAUAAUAGUAUUUCCUUGAGAACAUCAUUGAUUGCACGAGCCAACUGAAAUAUUUCCUUUAGACAGGCAGCCUGUAAAUUCAGAGAUACAACGAGAAUAACAUUAGCAAAUGUAUCACCACAAAUAACCUAAAAUCAUCAAAAUAAAUAUAAAUAAAUGAGAAGAACUAGUAUUAAUAAAAGAAAAGACAUUAUAGGGAAGGUGCAGUUGAUUCAGCUAAUAAAAAAAGAAGAUCAUACCGCAAUGAGCCCAAGAAGCUAGAGAAUUGAGGUACAAUAUGAGGGCUCUACUCAGAUUGUCUGCCAUUUCCCUCUCUGUUUUUUUCUGUAUGUAUAGACUUGUAUACAAGUGUAAUUGCGAAAGAAGAAAUUGCAAAAGUUAAUAGUGACAGAGCUUAAAAAGGAUUGGGAUCUAAUGCUCCGAUUCAAUAUAUACAAACUAAGAAACAACAUAUAAAUUUAAAACCUGGCUUCAACAGAAUUGAGGGCGACUUCUUUUCUGUGAACCGACGGCGGGUGGGUGCGUGGCUCUUCUCUUUUCAGCGGCUACGCUGCGUGGCGGGAGAAGAAAAGAUGGCGUGGACUAUACAGUGGGCAGAAUGAUGGCGAGAGGGUGGAUCGGCGAGAAGGCGGCGUGGAACAGCGGCGAGAUAGCGUGGCUAGGUUUUAUCGGUGAUAUAAGAUUUUUUGAGUUCGUGCAGAGUGGGAGGCUGAAGUGGUGGAAGUUGAAGAAUUUUAUUUAAUAUUUAAA
RNAcentral lists this long non-coding RNA (865 nucleotides) under Salvia miltiorrhiza (redroot sage). Its description in RNAcentral is "long non-coding RNA (SMIL_LNC006513)". Lineage: Eukaryota; Viridiplantae; Streptophyta; Magnoliopsida; Lamiales; Lamiaceae. The record is from RNAcentral.